Molecule: ribosomal RNA, 633 nt
Filed under: Triticum aestivum (bread wheat)
Lineage: Eukaryota; Viridiplantae; Streptophyta; Magnoliopsida; Poales; Poaceae
Description: partial small subunit ribosomal RNA
Source: RNAcentral
AUGCUGCGCCGGCUUCAGCGUGUCGGUGCCCAGGUGAUUGCUGCCCUGUGGCCGGACAUGCAGGCUCCGCGCACCCCCAGCCUGACGGCCGACUGGCUAGAGGUCGCGGCUGGUCAUCUUGAGGCCUGGAAGGGUUCUUCGGCCCGAGCUGGAGCGCGCCGGACCUUGGAGUUCGUCAAGGCGUGGUAUCCGGGGCUGGAUCUAGACCGGCUGGCCACACUUCGGUCGGAGGCCCAGCCGGAGCUGGCAGCUGCCGAAGACGCCCUCGUCAAAUGUGUUGCGACGAUCGCCGAGUACACCGACACCAGCAUCUUCGUCCCCGAGCGGUCUGAAGACGGCGAGGAGGUACCGCCGGAGUGGUUUGGGAUGAACCCAGACUACGACGAGGACUCGGCGGAGGUGAUUGGCUCCAGCGUCGAGGAGGAAGGCGAGGCGGAGGACGGAGGCGAGACGGAGGCACCAGAAGACGGAGCAGAUGGCCAGCCUCAGCUCGACCGCGCCUCCAGCAACGAGCCGCGUGCGACCGAGCCGACUACCGCCGGAGGCGAUCAAGCCGAGACUACCCAGCCGGCCGUCCCGACGCCUGACGCUGCCGCCUCCUCCGACCCUCCAAAUCCGUCUGCUGCUUACUAA